This 460-nucleotide ribosomal RNA is filed under the name uncultured bacterium. RNAcentral's name for it is "partial 16S ribosomal RNA". It matches the Rfam family "Bacterial small subunit ribosomal RNA", at positions 338 to 795 of the family's 1533-position model. The record is from RNAcentral.
CCUACGGGUGGCAGCAGUGAGGAAUAUUGGUCAAUGGGCGGAAUCCUGAACCAGCCAUGCCGCGUGAAGGACGACGGCUCUACGGGUUGUAAACUGCUUUUGUACCGGAGUAAUAAGUGAUACGAGUAGGAUUAUGACAGUACGGUACGAAUAAGCAUCGGCUAACUCCGUGCCAGCAGCCGCGGUAAUACGGAGGAUCCGAGCGUUAUACGGAUUCAUUGGGUUUAAAGGGUGCGUAGGUGGGUUUGUAAGUUAGGUGGUAAAGCCCCAGGCUUAACAUCGAGUUUGCCAUUGAUACUGUAAGACUAGAGUUCAGAUGAGGUAGGCGGAAUAUGUAGUGUAGCGGUGAAAUGCUUAGAUAUAACACAGAACACCGAUAGCGAAGGCAGCUUACCAGGCUGGAACUGACACUGAUGCACGAGAGCGUGGGUAUCGAACAGGAUUAGAUACCCCAGUAGUC